CCUACGGGUGGCAGCAGUGAGGAAUAUUGGACAAUGGACGAGAGUCUGAACCAGCGAAGUAGCGUGAAGGAUGAAUGCUCUAUGGGUUGUAAACUUCUUUUAUAAAGGAAUAAAACGAGGCACGUGUGCCUUUUUGCAUGUACUUUAUGAAUAAGGAUCCGCAAACUCCGUGCCAGCAGCCGCGGUAAUACGGAGGAUCCGAGUGUUAUCCGGAUUUAUUGGGUUUAAAGGGCGCGUAGAUGGGUUGUUAAGUCAGUUGUGAAAGUUUACGGCUCAACCGUAAAAUUGCCAUGGAUACUGGCAGUCUUGAGUACAGUUGAGGUAGGCGGAAUUCGUGGUGUAGCGGUGAAAUGCGUAGAUAUCGCGAAGAACCCCGAUUGCGAAGGCAGCUUUCUAAACUGUGACUGACAUUGAUGCGCGAAAGUGUGGGUAUCAAACAGGAUUAGAUACCCCAGUAGUC
This 460-nucleotide ribosomal RNA is filed under the name uncultured bacterium. RNAcentral describes it as "partial 16S ribosomal RNA". It matches the Rfam family "Bacterial small subunit ribosomal RNA", at positions 338 to 795 of the family's 1533-position model. The record is from RNAcentral.